Molecule: long non-coding RNA, 36644 nt
Organism: Mus musculus (house mouse)
Lineage: Eukaryota; Metazoa; Chordata; Mammalia; Rodentia; Muridae
Product: predicted gene, 46830
Exons: 3
Source: RefSeq, a predicted model, not a curated record
GGGCACACACACUCACAUACACACAAACACAAGGACAUAAAAGCUAGGGAGAAGAAAUGUGUUCAUGAAUGAGGGAGGGCGAAUGAGCAAGUACCAAAAGCCACUAUAAACACAUAUGAAGCUGUGAAAGAAUAAAUCAUAAAAUUUAAAAAUAUAAUACAAAAACACACUACUAUGAUGAGAAAGAUUUUAUUCUAGCUAUUCACAGAUGGUUGCAAAUUAGGAAAGAUGCUGAUAUAAUUUAUCAUAUUUAUAGUUAAAAAUAUUACGAUCAUUUGGAGAGUCUCAAAUGCAUAUUUGAUAGACAGCAAAACAGUAACCAGUGAGCAAAUACUGGGGGAAAACGUGAACAUUUGUGUCUUUGAGCCAAGGGUCUUCUUCUUUUUUUAAUUUUAGGUUAUAUUUAUUCAUCUAUUUGUUUAUAUGUGUGGCAUAUGCCACAGCCUGUGUGGAGGUCAAAGGACAGCUCACAGGAGUUGGUUUUUCCUUUUACCAUGUGGGUCCCAGAGCUUGGAGACUGAGCUCACAUCACCAGGUGUGGGGGCAGGCUGCUUGACCACUGAGCCAUCUCCUUGACCCACCAGGACUUUCUUAAUGGCAGCUUGACGAGACAAGACCAGAAUGUCAGGAGUUAGAAUUAUUAUUUACAUAUGCUAACAUAUAACAUAUAAAUAAGAUAUUAUGAUGAUAAAAAUGAGAAGUGUAGGGGUUGGGAAGGGUGGAAACGGAGGGGGGUGGAUUUCAUAUCUAAAAACUAUAGAGAACACAGUAAAGAACAAAUAGCCUAUCAGAUUGGAAACUAACACACAGAAACCAAUAGUUUUCAUAUCAGGCUCCAUUUAUAGCAGCCACAAAAAUAAUAACACAUCUAUGAAUAAAUUUACCAAGGAAAUUUGCAGCUUUAUCAGGACAUAAAUGGUCUCUGAAACAAAUCCAAAGAAUAGACAGUGAAGCCAGAUGGUGGUAGCACAUACCUUAAUUCCAGCAUUAAGGAGGCAGAGGCAGGAGGAUCUCUGUGAGUUCCAGACUAGCCUGGUUUAUAAAGUGAGUUUUAGGACAGACAGAACUAUACAGAGAAAUCCUGUCUCAAAAAACAAAACAAAACAACAACAACAACAACAAAACCCAAAAAAACAAAACAAAACAAAAAAAAGGAAUGAAAAAGGAAGAUUAUAAUUUCAAUCCAUAUCUAAUAAAAAAACCACAUUUUUCUGCACUAAGAUCAGUUGAUUUUUCCUUUAUAAUUUAGAUUGUUAAAGGAAAUAAGAGAAGGAACUAGUUUUCAGAAAUUAAUACGUCUUAGAGUGCUUCAGAAAUCACAGCUGUCUAUGUCUAUUGGAUCUUAGAACUCAGGUCUUAGUGUUCUAUUGCUGUGAAGAGACACCACUACAAUGGCAAUACCUAUGAAGGACAAUAUUUAAAUGGGGCUGGCUUAUAGUUGAGAUUUAGUCCAUUAUUAUCAUGACAGGUGCUGGAGAAGGAGCUGGAAGUUCUACAUCUUUCUCUACAGGCAGCAGGAAGAGACAGUGAGCCACUAGGCCUCGAUUGAGCUUCUGAAACCUCAAAGCCCACACCCCAACGACAUAUUUCCACAAGCAAGGCCACACCCACUUCAAUAAGGCCACACCCACUCCACAAGGCCACACCUCCAAUAACACCCUCUCUAUGAGACAUAGAGCCAUUUUGUCAAACCACGAAGUACCGGGAAAGUGAAGCAGGGUUGGCAUCUUAAGCCCAGAAGGAUGGAUGGCUGUGGUUACGUCUAGGGCUCUAUGUUUACCUACAUAUAGGAAAAAUUUAAAUAGACUUAAAGACACAAAUAUAAGAACAAAGCCACAAUAGCAGGGUUUACUUACAACUUUGAGGUAGAAGAUGACUUUCUACCUCACAAAUGACACAAAAAUCCAGAAACCACUGAGUAAAAUAUAUAGUUAGUUUCAUGUGCCAAGUCGGAUGGGUCUUAGAGCCCAGAUAUUUGAUCAAACUUUUUUCAGAACAUUUGUGUCUGAGCAAAAUGGUUCGUCUUCCCUAGGGCAGUUGGGCACAUUAGUUGAAGUCCACAUUGCUACCUCUGAGCAGGAGAGGAGCCGUCCAGCUCCGGCAGUGACUCCCUGUGGGUGUUUAGCUAGGCAGCCUGCAGCCUGAGGCUUGGCAGCCUCCAUGGCUAUGCAAGCGAAUCCUCUGCAAGUCAAUCUACAUGCCCGUUGCAUUGUUUGUUUCCCUACAAAAGCUUAACGAAUACCGAGAACCUUGCGAUAAAGAUCCUGUGUACAGAAAGAAAUUUGGUUUAUAUGCCAACAAAAGUCAGAAACAGAUAAAUAUAGCGAAGUUGGUCUAUUGGAAAAGUAAAAACUGCUUCUCUUCAACGGGAAGACAAACAAAUAAACAAAGAAAGGUCUGGUCUUUUUGGAGAAUGAGGCCCUGGCAGGCAGGUCCUGAGAGUGAAAAAUGAAUGGGAGCCUGAGAAGGAAGCAGGGCCCAUAGCCUUACAUGGCCCCUUCACUUUAUCGAGGACCCGCAGCCUCACAGGACACUCAGCUUCAUGGUCCCUAUACUUCAGAAAAAUUCUCAUUAGCACUUGUGACUAGAUAUAACCAGAAAAGUCUUAGAGCAUUAUUGUUCUUAGUUCCAGAGUGACAGAAUUCCAAAAGUAAUAGCUGUUAUUGGUGAGAGCAAGUGUAUGAAUAUUGAUAAUAGGAACAUGGACCAGGGCAACGCAUAUGGCAGAUAAAGGGAUGGCAACUGCACCCGGCUCGUAUCUUCAGCAUCACACAUUCCAGGAAGAUAUACAUAACAUAUGGUCAUACGCUAAGUGACAUAUUCACUGUGAUUCAGGCUUAUACGAAGAAGUAACUAGAAACAUACCAAAUUUCAUGAAUAAGGAACUGGAUGUACAAAGCAUGGCAAACAUAUCUGAGAGAUAAGGGGUUUUAUGUAUAGACCUGCAAAGCCAAUAUUCAGGAUCUGGGACGGUGAGUCCAAGUCACCCAUAAAACAUCCAUCACUCUUAUAAAGCUGGGAGGGCAGUAAACGUUCCUUAUCUAUUAUUAUUAAUUAUUAUUUAUUUCUUAAUACAUGUAUUAUUUCUUUAUGUCCCUUUGGUUGUGAUCAUGUACUGCAGCACCAUUAGAAACGGAUGCAAGCCACUGAUCUAAGCCACCGGAAUUACUUACGUCUGCUGCUAAGAUCUGUCUCGGCAGCCCACACAUCCCAGUUUCUAGACAUCUCACCAUGCCUUCCACAAGUGUUCCCACCCUUCCCUGAGGGUGGGGUGUGUUCCAAGACCUCUGCUUUGAGAACCGGUCCCACCCGCAUCUCCAUAGUACAUGUAACAGAAGCAACUCCUUCAAAGCCAGAGCUCAGGCAUUCCCUUCAAGUUCUUGGAAGGAAUCGCAAGUCUCUGUUCACUUUUGGAGUCAAUAGAAUCCUUUAAUGCAUUGGUUCUCAACCUGUCGGUCGCAACCCCCUUGGGGUUUGAAUGACCCUUUCACAGAAGUCACCUAUCAGAUAUCCUACACACCACAUAUUUAUAUUACGAUUCAUGAGAGUAGCAAAAUUAUAGUUUUGAAGAAGCAACAGAAGUAAUUUUAUGGGGGGCACCCCAACAUGAGGAACCGAAUUAAAGGGUCACAGUCUUAGGAAGGUUGAGAACCACUGUGCUAAGGAGUGGGGAGAGCAGCCACGUUUCUUUCUUUGAAACAAUGAAGAAAAGAGGUCAAUUAAAAUCAAUGCGGUGCAUGAUACUUUUAGCAAGGCAUGUCGUGCCAGCAUGUAACGCUAGCGUGGACAGUAGAGGCAGAGGGUCAGGAGUGAAGAUGGAGGUAGGGGUUGGUAGUUUACUGGCUGAAACACAUAGACAUUAAAAACAUAACAUAAAAGUGUUUCAGGACAGACCGAACUGUGAGGACUGUUAAUAGUGUCACGAAGAAUUUUGUCGUGUUUGGCGUUAAAGGCUUUGUAUUAAAGUGAUGUUUUUAUUUUUAUUUAUUUAUUUUUUAUUUUUGGCAUACUGAUUUAUUUCUUACAUAUAUACGCACAAGUAGGAUAUUUUGAUCAUGUGAUAAUUUUUCUUUUUUUCUUUUCUUUUCUUCUCCUUUCUUUUCUUUUUUAUUUAAACAAUUUUCUUCAUUUACGAUUCAAACGCUAUCCCAAAAGUCCCUUAUACCCUCCCCCCUCCCUGCUCCCCAACCCACCCACUCCCACUUCUUGGCCCUGACGUUCCCCUGUACUGGGGCAUAUAAAGUUUGCAAGACCAAGGGGCUUCUCUUCCCAAUGAUGGCCAACUAGGCCAUCUUCUGCUACAUAUGCAGCUAGAGACACGAGCUCAGGGGGUACUGGUUAGUUCAUAUUGCUGUUCCUCCUAUAGGGUUACAGACCCCUUCAGUUCUUUGGGUACUUUCUCUAGCUCCUCCUCUCAGGGGCCCUGUGUUUCAUCCAAUAGAAGACUGUGAGCAUCCACUUCUGUAUUUGCCAGGCACUGGCAUAGCCUCACAAGAGACAGCUAUAUCAGUGUCAUGUCAGCAAAAUCUUGCUGGCAUAUGUAAUAGCGUCUGUGUUUGGUGGUUGAUUAUGGUGUGGAUCCCCGGAUGGGGCAGUCUCUGCAUAGUCCUUCCUUCCGUCUCAGCUCCAAACUUUGUCUCUGUUACUCCUUACAUGGGCCUUCUUCUUGAGUUUCAUGUGUUUUACAAAUUGUAUCUUUUUAUUAUGUUCUUAAACAUUGCUUUUUAAAAUGACUAUGUGUGUGUUCAUUCAUGUGCGUGCUCAUGCUCUCACUCUCAAUUGCUCACUCACUAGCGCGUGCAUGUGCAGUCUAUAAGGAAAGUGAAGUCAUUAACAGACUCAACUAUACUUUCUCUUUAAAUAGCAACUUUAAUGCCCUAUACCCCUUUAUGCCUUUAGGACUUUUAGUUGCUGUUGAAAAUAAAAAUGCUUCAUAGAUUUGCUUUUAUUGAAGUUUCCCCUUUAGCAUCUGCGUUAUAUAAACAAGUAUUUGUUAAACCGAAGGAGAUGAUGUUGCCGUACACAGCCUCUGAGAACUGAAUAUGUCAUCACGGUGUUUCUUCAAGUCUUCUUGAUGGUUGCAGUAAGUGUGUGACCUUCCUGGGAGCUGCCUGGCAUUGGGUUUGGACAGUAUGGCUUCCCUCCCCAGGCUCCUCCUAGCGUCUCUUUCAGCUCCAGCUGCAGGGCUGGGACCAAGAGUGAGCACUGUUUUCAGACAGACAGCCAGGGGCUCUGAAUUUUUUAUCAUGUUUUCCUAAACCUUCCUCAGCUCUCCCCCUUAGUUAUUCUUCCUGUCUCUCAGCCUGUGUAUUUAUUUAGUUGCUCCAGCAUCUUUGUCAGAGCCUACCAAAUAAUUGACUUUAAAAGAGCAGCCAGCUAUUGAUCUGCCUUGGUGGCUGGUUGAAAUUUGCCUGAUUUUAGACCUUCAUUUGCCAGACGUCAGUUGUUUCCCCUGAAUCAUUUCACGUAGGCAACAACAAAUCUUUAUUCAGUGUCUCCUGGAGGUCAGCCUUUGCUCGAGGCACCUAGAGAGAUCUUGUUCCUACAUUCAUGGAGACUACACGCUACUGGAGUGACUUGUGGCUAUUUCCUCUGUAAUGGUACACUCCUUAGAAGAGGGAAGGCAUGAUGCAUUGGCACACAGCAUGGUAAGGAAGGCAGUUUGCUAAAAGCAUAAUAGAAUAUUAGUCUCUAAGAAAAAGUAAGCAGGGCUGGGCAUGUGCACACGAGUGUCUUUCUGUGUGUGCAUAUGUGUAGGUGUGUGCACAGUACACAUUUGUGUACAUGAGUGUGGAGGUAGGAGGUUGAAUUGACCCUUUUCUCAAUCACCCUUCACCUCAUUUUUUUGAGAGAGAGUAUGUUCUCUCACUGAACCCAGAGUUCACCGAUUCCGCCAGACCAGUUGGCUAGCCAGCUCCAGGAACGCUCCUGCCUCUGCCUUGUGAGGGCUAAGAUCACGGGUGUGUGGCUCCACACCUGGCUCUUAACAUGGGAACUGGGGAGGUGAACUCCGAUUCUCAUGCUUGUAUGACCACCUGAAGCAUCUCCUUGUGUUCUCCUGUGCCCAUAGGCAAGAAUAGAAGGUAUGAAUAAACAACUGCAGGGGCAUUAAAAAGUUAAAAAUAAAAAUCAAGCCAGGAAAAAAAAAAGACAAAGAGAAAAGAUAAAGUGAUAUCACACUAUCAUUUAAAGUGGGAAAUAUACAAUUAUAUUUAUGCUAAAGCAUCAAAAAGUUCCAAUAAAUACCAAAAGACAUCUGGACUCAAAGUUUCUAUUCAUCGACUAAGUAUGGAUAUUUUCUCAUAUGUGUCCUACAGACCUACAAGGAUGAACACAGGCAGCAAAAAGACGGCCCAUGAUCGCUGUCGUCCAAGUAGCCGGGAAACUGAAAGAGUCACCAUCUCAUUUUUCCCACUUGUAGGGAAAUGGUUUGGAACCUACAGGGCCAGCACAGCAGCCCUUGCUACAGGAAAAGGUGAGACAAAGUCUGAGACAGUGAUGUGGGCGAGACCUUACCCGCAACACCCCAUGUCUGCGUGCAACCAUGUGGAUGAAGCCUUGGGGAGCUGCCUUGAGUGGAUGCAAUGGCCGAAUUCAACCUGGUUGGACUGGAAGCAGACAGAGCUUCGUAAAGCUCCUCACCAGGGACCCAUUGCACUCAGCAACAGUCAGUGCUUUGCUGUCAGCAAACACUGUGUGUGAGAGGCAGCUUUGACCAUGGUGCGUCAGAGUUCCAUACACCUGAUCCAGCAAGCUGUCACUGCCCUGACCCCACGGACUGCACAGGGAAGCGUGAUGGCUUCCCCGGCUCCAACGGUCACCCACGCUUCCAGCUGAUGGUCUCCUGGUCCUUUUUGUAUGGCUUAGUUGAUGCAAGAUAUUUCUUUUUGGAAGAUGCUUCAUGAGAUAGAUGGUCAUAUCAAUCUCUUUCUAACACUACAUGUUUGUUUUCUCUGUCCCCACAUCCAGCAGCAGCAGCUUAUGUGGCCUCCCCGCCCCCAUGGGGUUUGAAAUCUUCAGGCUCAUUUUGACCUUUCAACCCUGAUUUUAAUUAACCUCUGAGCCUACUGUUUUAAGACCCAUCCCAGUUUUCCUCCCCUGUCUUGUCUGUCACCAGCUUUCCAAUGCAGUCUUAUCUCCUAACGUAGGUUCCGCGUCUCCCUCACCAUAUUAUAUAACUCAUGUUUGCUGCUUUUGUCAUAUAACACUGUCAUUUCUUUGGGAGAAAAUUUGGCUCUAAAUUUCAUCAGAAUCACUAAUUUAUUGCCUGUAUACAGUAGAAACUUUAAGAGGUCUGGCUCAGUAGACUAGUCUAAUAAUCUAUCAUCAAAGAAUGCUAGUUAGUUAUCUCUUGCACCCUCUGCUCUCUUGUCUGUAAGUUGUGAAUAAUACUAAAAAGUUAUACAUGCAAUUGAUGAACUACAAUCUGUGUGAAGUACAGUUAGUACACCUGUACUGUAUAUACAAUGACAAUCAUCAGCACUAUCGUGAGCAUGUCACUGUCACUAUACUGACAGAGUUUUAGGUUCCUGUAUGCCCAUGAAUAUCUGGUGUAGCCUGGUGGAGGACCUGGCCUGGAAGUCAGAGAUGCAAUAUCUCUCUCACCUCUGUCCGUGACCUUGAGCCUGUGUGCAUGACCUUGGGUUAGUCAGAUGGGUAUGGACUUGGGGACAGGGCUGAGCCUCUCUGCACUCCUAUGAUUGAGACUAUGAUUGCACAUUGCUGUUUUGAGUCAGGUCCCUCAGUUUGAUCUGGGCUCUCAGUGACAGGCCCAUGGACUCGGGCUCAGUGUGGACUACUCGGCCAUCUUGGAGAUGUAUUGGUGAGUGCACAGAUAUAGGGCCACUGCACUUUGGCAAAUGCUGACUAUAGAAUGGUUAUGGCCUUCAGUUUAUGAUCUCAAUGGCUGUUUGGGCAUUUUGAGAGGAAAAUGCAAUGCCGGAGAGUUACAGAGGGGACACACCUGAUGGUUUUUCUCUUAGCUGAUUCUGUGGGAGGGACGCCUCUCCAGCUGAUCAACCUAGUGACACUUCUCCAACUCAUCCUCCCUGCAGACACCUCAGGUCACGGGACCAGUGGCCUCAAUUACAGAGGCAGGGAGACAGAUGCCAGAACCACACGGUUACAGUUGGAAGAGCCCUUGUCUAGUCUAAACAUUUGAUUUUACACAUGAGGGAACUUCAUCUCAGAGAGACCAGAGGACAGCUACAAGGUCACAGAGUUAGAAGUAGAAUUUGGCAUGGACAGCAUAGGUUCUGGAAACCCAGCUGAAAAUGUGUCCCACCUUCCCCAGGACCAUCCACAAGGGACGAAGACAAAAGUGAGCCCCAAAUAGGCAGCAUGUAGAACCUUCUAACCCUUCUGGCCCCCAGUCCUGAAAUAAGGUCUGAUUGAUCAAGACUGUUGGGGAAAGCGUUGACGGGAGCUUGGGGAGAGAAACACACUUUCUAAUUCUUCACUCCUGUGUGAAGAGCAAAGCUGUUGUCAUUAGGCUGUGUGUUGCAGAAUCCUAGAACGGGAGCAACUGGUGCUCGAGGUCUUUUUCUCUUGUGCUUAAGGACCUACUCAGCACCCUGUGGUGGCAGGUCAUGGGAGACAAAGAAUGUGGUUGUGUUUCCUGAAAUGUGUUUCCUGUCAUGACUCAGGGGCCCCUCCCUUGACACCAGCUCUGUGAGAGGACAGUCCCGGGAACAAGUCGGCAUGAGGCCUGGCACCUGGGAGGCUUUCAGAAAGCUGGUUGGAUGAGCCCAGAAGGCGUCGUGUGUCGGUGACUACAUGCCACAGAAGACGCAGUAGAACGUGAAUUGGCUCAGCAGUCGGAGCCCUGUAAGACGUGAUGAUCAGGCCAGUGGAGAGUCUAUGCUCUCACACUUGCAUAGGCUAGUCGAGUGGGGCGGGGCAGGGAGGGGGGAGGAGAAAGCUUUUCUCGCUUGUAUUCUCAUUUCAGUAGAGUAAGCACGAAUUUGUGGUUCAGUGGUUCCGCCUCUCACUGUGCUUUUCUUCCUCUGACUUCUUGCUCUUAAGUAGAAGUACCAGCCUGCAAUUCUGUUGGGGCAUUGUGCGUAAGCCGGUGUUUUUCUUCUGUCUCCUUUUCUCUGGAAUUUUCUUUUCUUUGGAGAGACAUGGCUACUGCAGGGUCUGAGGCCCACAGUGUACCUGAGGGAGGAACACCGAUAAGUGCUGAGGCAGGUUGACCACGGGGGAGACAGGAAGUCUCCCAUGGCGGAGCCUGGUAACCAUCAAAUCCCCUAUAUCGCUCUGGAAUCUUCCUUGCUCAUUUGGGGUCAGGUGACUGAGUUGUUUCUCCAUCAGUAGACUGUGAGAGUGAGUGUCGUAAGUCACUUAUGAACCUGGGCUUGCUGACAUGCCUGGUGCUAAUGUCCAGCUCUUCCACAGCAACCUCACAGGCUACCACCAUAUGGGAAAGGGCUGUCUGAUGACUCUGGUCUACAGUGCAAAGACAACUCUACCCCUUGGGCCUUAUUUGUAACCGAAUCAUUACCUACCCCACCCUGGCUUUUUAUUCUAGUCUACAAAGCCCACCUCAUCUGAGGAGAGCACGGAGGCUGGAUUCUGACCGCUGUGUCCUCUUGGCUGUCUGGUUUGGGAGUGCAAAUGCACUGGUUCUGGGCAGAUGGUUGGUGGGGAAGUGGGUGUGUCCCCUUACGCUCCAUUCUGCUCGGAGUUCCCUGAGCUUCUGUCAUCUCCGUUCUCUUUAAGUGGAUACAAGAAGAAGUUUUAAGGAUGAAAAUGAAACUUUAAACACUGGAUGGUUUUGCGCUGUGAACUGUCAACGCUUUAAACUGUUUUCGUAACCCUGAUAAGCUCGGCAUUUCAGUCAUCUCAGAGAGAUUAAUUUUUGCUUAUUUUCAGAUAUAGUUGAGGUAUUUUUAAAAGCUACAAGUCAUUGCUGUUAGGCUGGGGACUUUUACAUUAUUAUUAAUCUGGAGGUAUGAAAUGUAUUCAUCCCAAACUUUGGGUAAUUAUAAUGAAAUUUUAAAAAAUUAACAAAUUCUGGGGCGGGAAAGAUGGCCCUGUGGUUGAAAGCACUUGUUGCUCUUUCCGUGAACCCGAGUUCAGUUCCCAGUACUUACACAGUGGCUUUCAACCAUUUCUAACUCCAGUCCAGGGUUCUGAUGGCCUCCUCUGGCCUCUUUGGGCACCAGGCAUACAUGGUGCACAGAUAUAGAUACAGGCCAAACACUCCUACAGACAAAAUACUUUUAAAGAAAGUUUUUGCAUUAUAAACUUGGUUUCAUUUUCAUUCUCUAUGUUAACCUGCCAUUAACAAGUGAGCCAUUGUUUUGACCUUGAAUCAUUACUAGAACGACCCAUGAUGAGGCAUUAGUAGAAGCUGGUUUGGUAAAUAUGCUUAUUAAGCUUAAUAUUUUAUAAAAUUGGAUGUUUUCAGUGCUUUUACAUAAAAAAUAUUGUAAUUGAUCAGUGAUAAUUCUAUAAUAUUCUGGUAAGAUAGGCUGUCUACUCCGCAUUGGGUAAGUGCAUUUGGGAUGAGACUGAAAGAUCCUGAGAGAGAAGAGUUAAAAAUUAUGUAAGCCCCCAGACUUGUGUCCAAAAUAGACCCCCACUAAUGGCAGGGAGUGAAAGUUUAACUCGCUCCAUUGUUCCAGGUUGUACUAACCACAAAGUAGAAGUUUAACUUGCUCCAUUGUUUUAGGAAAUGUUUGUACAGAAUACUCCAACCGUUCCUUGAACCCAUUUUGCUUGCCAAAUGCUAUAGCCCAUGCCAGGUGUUUGUGGUUUCUGCCUUUAUAAACCCCUUACCCUUUGAGCUGGGGGUCAACUCCUCUACCCCUGCAUGGGAUACGGGUCGUCCCCAGUGCACUGGCCUUUCCUGAUUAAACCUCUUGCUGUUUGCAUCAAGACCAGUCUCUCAUGAGUUCUUGGGCGUUGCAUCAUCCUGGGGCUUGAGUGAGGGUCCCUCCCAGUUCGGGGGACUUUCAAGACAAGUUACAUGUAUGAAAGAUUGUGCCUAUCACUCGGACACCUAGAGACACAGGGGCACAUACCCAUAAACUUUUGAAUGCCCCAAUGAGUUACUUAAAAUGUUAAGAUUAACAACUAGGACUGAAAUGUUUAUAGUCCGGCAGCCACCCUGGACCACUCUUGCAGAAAAGGCUCAGGAAACAAUUUGGGUUGAGGUAUUUUUCUUGUCUGACUCUUCCAAACACAGCUUUGUAUUAGCGUGUUCAAUAAACCAAGUAACACGCUCUCUGCAUCACUCCGAGCCAUUCUUGACCCUCAUUUCAUUCUAUUUGGAGGUAAUUACUUGCUGCUAAUGCAAAAUGCAAAAGACACCCUUAAAUUCAGCUGAAUUAUUAUGUAGAUUGGAAACCAGACCUCUCAACUCCUCUCUCACCAGAACUCUUUUGUCUACUUUAUCAAAUAGAAAAGUCCAUCUGAUUUUUCCCCCCCACGGGAGAGGAACCUUUCAUUUAUAAUAACAGCCUGUGCCUGGGACUCUUGGAAGAAAGGGGUGAGCUGCCUGGAGGAUGACAUCACAAGUGAAUGAAUGAAUGAAUGAAUGAAUGAAUGGGUGGGUAAUGGUGUAGAGGCUUAGUGUCAGAUCACAGAGGAGGAAUGCCGGGCUGCAGCCUCCACGCCUUUUCCAUACGGCGCAGAGAGAAUCCAGGCUUCUGUUUAAGGCCUUCUAAACAGAACCUGGGUAAUGUUGUUGUUGAUCUGCGUCUGGAUGGAGCUUUGCUUAUUAACUCAUUUAUAUUCAAAUCAAUCGUUUCAGUGAACUAAGAGCUCAUGUCUGGAUUAAUAGUACUUACAGUAAAAAUGGAGCAUGGGUUUCUCAGCCUCAUUCCAGGAAUCAAUAAGCAAACAACAGUAAAAGGCUAUUUUUUUUUUCCAUGACUACCUAACUGGCUUCCCAAACAUCCUCUUACUCAGAGGAAGGGAUAUUCUUCUAUUGCAGUAAGAGGCAGCGAGCACAUGGCUUCUGUUAGGACCAGUGGAGCUGCGUGCAAAGCUCAGUUGUCAGGAAGAAAGUUAUUUGCCACAGGCCUGAAAAACUUCAGCGGAUUCUACCAAUCAGGUCUUCCUGAACCAGCGAAUCACAGGGGAUUCUACCAAUCAGGUCUUCCUGAACCAGCGAAUCACAGAGGAUUCUACCAAUCAGGUCUUCCUGAACCAGCGAAUCACAGAGGAUUCUACCAAUCAGGUCUUCCUGAACCAGCGAAUCACAGAGGAUUCUACCAAUCAGGUCUUCCUGAACCAGCGAAUCACAGAGGAUUCUACCAAUCAGGUCUUCCUGAACCAGCGAAUCACAGGGGAUUCUACCAAUCAGGUCUUCCUGAACCAGCGAAUCACAGGGGAUUCUACCAAUCAGGUCUUCCUGAACCAGCGAAUCACAGGGGAUUCUACCAAUCAGGUCUUCCUGAACCAGCGAAUCACAGAGGAUUCUACCAAUCAUGUCUUCCUGAACCAGCGAAUCACAGAGGAUUCUACCAAUCAGGUCUUCCUGAACCAGGGAAUCACAGGGGAUUCUACCAAUCAGGUCUUCCUGAACCAGGGAAUCACAGAGGAUUCUACCAAUCAGGUCUUCCUGAACCAGGGAAUCACAGGGGAUUCUACCAAUCAGGUCUUCCUGAACCAGGGAAUCACGUGCACUGAUGGACUCGGCCCCUCACGGCAAGCAAAGUCCAGGAGCAUUGUAUUUCCUGGAAAUGGAAACGAAAUAUCUUCCAUAAAUUAAGAAGAUGGCAAGACAGUAAAUCAAGAUUAGACAUGUGGGACUGGGCAUUAUUUAUUUUUCGCAGAGUAGAAAAUUAACGUCUACAAAGUAUAGAAACAUUUCAAUCAAAAAUCAGGGAACAGUGAGUGAUUGAUAACCCAGGCUCAUAUCUGUAGACCAUGCUUCCUUCUAUGUUCUUAUUUUUCCAGUUCCCGUGACUUUUCUUCUGGUCUAUUCAAAACACUGCUUCCCUGCAGCCUAGUUUUGAAAAUCUUAUAUAGCCCAAGCUGGCCUUGAACUUGCAAUGUGGUCCAGGAUGAUUGAACUCCCGAUCUUCCUGCCUCCACCUCCCGAGUACUGGGUUACAGGUGUGAGAUAUCACACUCUGAUUUAUGUGAUUCUAGAGGGAUCAACCUCUGGGCCUUAUGCACACAACGUCAGCACUUGACAAACCACACUACAUCUCUAACCUGAGCACAGCUUACAAAUCCUCUCCCUUUGCCCACACAAAAAUCACCCCGGGCAUUGCCUGCAAAGCACUUGAGUCCUAGCUAACAUUUUAGAGUGUUGGGGCCAGACCCACGCCCAAGGGAGAUUUCACAGACACUCGAUAUACACAAACCACUGCACAGACAUUUCCCCAGUCACCUUGGUAUUGUCAUGGCAGCCCCACUGUGUCGGGACAGAAUCUAGACUCACCCUCAAUUUUCUAAGAAAGCCACUUAGGAAGGACCAAGCUGCCCAGCGUCCCCAAGAUAUCAGUGAGAUCGAUUGAAUCAGCAUCUUACAUCUCACAAGAUGAUCUGGCCUUUGCCUAACUUGCUCUUACUCAGUUGCUAAACUUCCAAUCCCUCCAGUGAAUUCUGGCCAUAAAAUGUUAUAACCAUGGAUCUAAUAUGGAUACCUGGGAAGAAAAGUUGAUGGAAAGGCACAAGGGAACAUUUCUGUGGGAGAGCAAUGUCCUCAGAUUGGAUGCCAAACUGGCAGAGUCUAUAAGUGUUAACCUUCAGAUCUGCCCUUUCUCAAGGAAGCUGCUUUAUAGCAAGUGUUGGCCGAUCUUAAGAAAUUGAUUCAUUCUCCAGAUUUCAAUUCUGUAAUUUAUUCAUGCACACACUCAUUCCAUCCAUUCAAUAAUCAACAAAUGUGUAUCAAAUACAAGGCUGGAUUCUGCUUAAGAUACAGGGGUUGCUACAGUGAACAAAUGGACCCAGAUCUCUGUUCCUGUGUCCAUUUAAUCCUUGGCCAAGGAGGAGUUAUGGGUCAAUACUUGCUGGUGUAAGAACGGGAGUUCAAGGAGCAAGCUCACAUGUGCUCAGUACUGCAGACACCUCUGAUCUCUUCUUCCUCCUGUUGACUAAGCCCAGGUCCGUCGCCAAGCAACACUUCCUCUUUGCCAUUCGGCAUCUUAUGCUCAUCACAUCUCUUAGCUCCAUCUCGUCUUACAAACUAUUCACUGUGGACGUGAUACUGUAGCCUGCUCUUCUGUCUUUUAGGAAAGGAAAACACUUCUAAGGAGCUGUUGCUAGUGUUCUCAGACAGAACCCAGGCACUGUUGCUUGAGAUUCGGGCACCGUACAUCAGGGGAAGCGCCUCUGUGUCCUACCGGGAUGAAAACUGUUGCCUUGGGCAGCCUGGGGGUGACAGGACAAAUACCAGGAGCAUGGUCCCCUCUGUUCUUUUGAUCUGUCCACCUUUGGGGCCUUGUGCUGCUCAGCACAUGACUAGUAAAUAAAUCGCCUGCUGGGCCUAGGCUCUCCUUUAUGUGAAGUGUGCAAACCUCACCCUUAAAGAACGUGAUUCAGGGAUUUUUUUUUUUCACUUCAGAGAAACCCCAUGUGGCUGAGAUGUGAGCUCACUGAACCUUGGCUACUCACAGGCAUUUCUAUUCUAUCAGUUUCUAUGAAUUAGACACAUUACCUUGUCACAAUUCUGAGCUCAAAACUCAAUUUACAUAUUAGAGCAUCAUGAAAAAAAUAUUCUAGUCCAUAGCUCCUGAUGCCUUUAUCUCUGUUGAUAUGGGGAAAUUAGCUUGAUUCUUUCCCGGAUUUUAACCAAGGGCUGACUUCUGGGUAGGGCGAAUCCAGACAACCUAGAAAAUAUUUUAGGAGUGCAAGCUCUGUGGCAGAGGUGAGUGUGCCUGGGCCUCACUCUUCAGGGCUGGGAAGGCCAGCUUGGCUAAAUACAUUCCUAGUCAACUGUACUUUCAACUCAGUCUAAUGUCCUUUUUCAAUGCCAUGCCUUGCUAUUUUAAUAUGGAGGUCCCCCCUCCUCCACAAUUCCUGAAGUAUCACCCUGAGUAGUAGACAAGUCAGAACUUACCGUUAAAUAGCCUAGAUGCUUGCAAAUUGGCCACUGGAUGGUGAACAUAUGAUUCACAGAUAUGUUAACAACACAUAUAGGUGUGUGUCCGGGGAGCUGAUUUAGCAUAAUGGGUUAAGCCUACAGACUUCAGAGCCAUGCUGGGUUUGAACCCCACCUCUACCAUUAAAGUUCCCUGAAAAUGGGGCAAAUUAAUUAACCUGUCUCUAGCUCAGUUUUUCCAUGCACAAAAUGGAAAUAGCAGCAGCAUUUUUCAGACUGAUAUGAAGAAGAAAUUAAUACUCAGAUAUUUAGAGCAGUAGACCUCAGUAAACAGUGCCAUCGAUAGAGAUCAAAUGGUAAAAACCACCUGGUACUGCCUGUCAUGCGCUCUCUCUGAGAGGCCAUUGCUCACUGUUAUAACUUCAGGGAGAUGUGAGAGUCAUUCUUCACAGAACUGAAGACGGCCUCACGGGGACUUUUAAAAGGGUGGCUCAUCAGAUUGCCAAGUGUCUGCAGCAGACCUGAAGCCGCUGUGGAUCUCAACCCGGGCCCUGCCUAGACCUGGGCUCUGGAGCAGCUGCUCCAGAUGUCUGUAGAGGUCGGUAGUGAGAGCAGAGACGUCAAAGCCCUUUCAUGGAAGGAGAUGAGAACACCUGUGUCUUAUCUCAGCCUCGGGCUGUGCAGUACCUGUGUCUCCAUUGCGAUUGCCUCUCUCCAUUGUCAGGCGUGUUUCCCUCUGCCUCUCAAGUGUUCCUCAGCACCAUCCGGAGACACUCUACCCUUGUUAGUUCUUGUACUAACUUUAUGAAUGUCAAGGGGAUUUAUUUCCUGGGCCGUCAGGUAGCUUGAAAUAAGAGACAUUUGCUCUCUUGUUCUAGAGACCACAAGUCGGAGAUGAAGUUUCUGGAAGCACCACACUUCUCCCUAAGGCUGCAGGGUCAAACCCUCCUUGCUGCUUCCUGGUUUUGGUAGUUCCAGGAAAUCCCAGCCUUCCAGCAUCUCUGUCUCCAUCUUUCCAAGGUCUGUUCUUUUCCAUACCCAGUUUUUCUUUUCCCUCUCUUACAGGGGAAUUUACUGCUAGGUUUAAAUCAUACUUCGGCAAUCAGGGAUGGUCUCAUUGCAAGACGCUUAACUUUGUUAGAUCUUCAGGGAUCCUUUGACCAAAUAAGGUCACAUUUUCAGGUCCUGGGGUUUAGACAUCAGAAUGUCUUUCUUUCUCAACCCUCUCUCCCUGGUAAGAAUGACAACCUGAUUCUAAAGGUGGAUUGUGGGGUGCCAGCAGAGUCCUGUGUUCUCUGGGUGAAGUUCCUGUGGUGAGGGUCCAGUGUCUGCCCAGCAUGGGAAAGCACAUGGUGGAGACGGACUCUCGUCCAUUCUAUAAGGAGCUGCUGAACCUCCCCACAUGCCGCCUCUGUCACGUUCAGCACUAACUGCCAAGCACAGCAUGAGCUGUUUCAGAAAGCUCGUGGCAAGUGUUUAAGGGGCUGAUGUGGCCAAGACAUUUUAUAGUCUGACCUCCACUCAAGUUCACAUUUGUCAGCGUGGCCACAUGUCUGUCUUGUCUCCAACACCAACUGGUCGAUCUGUACUCAAUGACAGCACUUUUUAAUUUAAUGCUCCCAUUGAGACAAUUUUUUGAGGCUCCAUGUAAAAGUUAUCACACAGCCGUAAUUAAUCCACAGCAGCCCCGGAAAUGUGUAUGAGGGUCAGGCUUACAGUUUCUGUUUGAGCUUCAAUUUCAUUAGGAGAAAGCAAACUGGUGCUUCUAAGCUACUACUUGAGCCAGGCACGAAGGAGACAGCAUCCUGUGCCAUUACCACAGCAAGUGAGGAGGAAGCAGUGAAGGAGAGACAGAGGUGGAGUCAUGUAGAUCUGCUCUCCCAGGGUUAUGACUCACACUUCAGUUUCUGGUUUACCACUCACAACCCAAGCUGGUAAGUGACUUCUUUCUCUAUGGCUCAAGUGUUACAUAGCAAAGAUGCACACCAUAUCAUGUCUCUGGGCCCCUCCACUUAACAUAUUUAUGGGUGGGUGUAGCAGUGUGUGUAUGUGAUGUAUCUGUGUGCACAUGUGUUGUGUAUGUGAUGUAUCUGUGUGCACAUGUGUUGUGUAUGUGGUGUAUCUGUGUGCACAUGUGUUGUGUAUGUCAUGUAUCCAUGUGUACAUAUGUAGUGUAUGUGACUUAUCCAUGUGUACAUGUGUCAUGUUUGUGAUGUAUCUAUGGGCACAUAUGUUGUAUAUGUGAUAUAUCUGUGUGCACAUGUGUAUGUGAUGCAUCUAUGCACAUGUAUUGUGUAUGUAUAGUUGUGUGCACAUGUGUUGUGUAUAUAUUAUAUUUGUGUGCACCUGUGUUGCAUACAUGAUGGGUGUACAUGUGUACAUGUUAGAUGGUAGGUCAAAGCUGAUGUGCAGUGUCUUUCCUUCAUUACAUUCCACUUUUUUUUUUUUGACACAGGUCUAUAAUUGAACUGGAAGAUCAUGGAUUUGGCUAAAGUGACUGGCCAUCGAGAUUUAAAGCUUACUCUCCCCACAAAACAAAACAAACCCAAAAGGCAAAAAGCCCUGGUAUUGUGGGCAUAAGCCGGUGUGUCCAUCCGAGACCUGAUCUGGCGCCCUUGUGUCUGCACAUCAGCACCUUACUGACUGACCCAUCAUCCAGCCCCUUCACACAGGCCUUCAAUUACUCACUAAGAAAAUGCACACUGGGGAGUAUAGGGCUGUGAGUCUGGAUGUACACAAAUGUACCAGCUGACACUGUUACAACAUGUGCAAGCCAGGCUGGCUUUACUUACCAGGCAGAAGUCAUGGGUUUCACAUUAAUACAAUGCCCUCGGGUUCAGUGAUAACAGUGUCUCAAACAACUAGUAUUUAUUGAACACUUACUUUGCAUCCAUGUGGAGAAGAGAUGAAGUCCCGAGUGAGCAUAUAUUGUUGCCAUGAGCACAAACAUGUCAAGGACCCCAGAGCCCCAGACCCAUGGGACGAGCAAAGCCUUCCCUGGUCUAUGACUCAAUGGUACAAGUGAUUGAGCCUUCGCUAAAACCAGUGUAUGAAGAAACUUUCAACCACUGCCUUCUCCUGGGUGCCUGAGACCUGAAACUGCCCCCCUUCAGAGACCUCCUGUGAAAUUAGCUAGUCAGCCUCCUCGUCCAGCUGCUUGUGGUAGACAAGCUUCCUUGCUCAGUGGUACAUAAGAAGUUCACUCAGUUUCCUGGAUGCGGAUCUGUUUCCAUCAGCUUGCACAGUGCCCCUGAAGCCAGCGUUUCUGUAUGUGUGUCUGUCAUUUCUUCAUUCUCUGUCACCUCAGGUAGAUCAGCCUCUACAUACCAGCCUAACAGUGAUGGGCCUGAAUGUUCCCGGACUCUGAACACUGUAUUCUCUAGGUCUGGCCACUCUGGCUGUCUUUUCAGCUGCUGCCCACAACCACUUAAACUAGCAUGGUCUGCAGUAAGGAUGAUUUUAUUUAAGGCUCAGGUGGCCCAUGUUGCCCAUGUUGUUAAUAUUCAAAUACAAGUGUUAGUGAAACCAUACAUAUGUAACCAACCUGCACCAGCCUGGUGAUCUACCUUCUGAUUUCAGGGUUUCACAUACAUAUACCCACACGUAACUGAGGGCUAGCCAUGAGUGCCCCAUGCUUCACCCAUGGGGAAGGUCCUAUGGUUCACACCAUUUUGCAGAUAAGGACCUUGAGUGCUGGAGUGGUUAAGCAACUUCUGCAUAAUCCCCCAGCUCACACCCCGUGACUCAGUUUCUAGGCAGUCUUACACUAACUGCCAGUUCCACGUAGGUAGCAACUCUGCCCUCAUAAAGCGUCGAUCUCCCAUGCGCCAGCCCAGCUCAUGAUAUACAGGAGGUGAUCAGCAAAUACUGUGGGAUGACCGAGAGUCUAAUUCAGAUCCCUCACUUGAGGCUACUACUAUGUAAUGUAUGGAUCACAUAGUCUUCUCACUAAUCAUGUGAUUCAUGACAAGGCCAUGGCCUUCUGAGUAUGAAUAGAUGCUCAUAUACAACACACGUGCAUAUAAAUACAUCAUAUAAGAACACAUGUGCACACAGGUAUAUCACAUAUACAACAUGUGUGCACACAGAUAUAUCACAUGCACAAUACAUGUGCACACAGAUAUGUCACAUACACAACACAUGUGCACACAGAUAUGUCACAUACACAACACAUGUGCACACAGAUCCAUCUAUUUCACCUCCACUCCUGGAAUCCAGGGACAUCAGCUCAUAUCCUGUUGACCCUUGUCUCUGUCUUGCAUAAGGGUCAUUCAUUUCUAAGUUACCUGUCCUAUGAUACAGGGGUAAAUUCCCUGGUUUCCUUGGUAUCUCUUAUAUAAAAGGCAUUCCCAUUGGCUGAUCUGAUCUUGGUUGGCUAAAGCGAGUGGCUGUAGGUGUAGGAACUACGAUUAGCUCUCGUGAUGCCCCUGCCCUUUUAUCUGCAGUAAUGUUUUUCUUUCUGGUCACUGGUGCUAGCUCCAUGUCAAUGUGUUCCCCAGACCCAACAGAAGAGAAGUGGGAGGAGAGACGUAAGAGUGUCUCAGCGGUGCUCAACCAGCUCACGCUAGUGCCAGGCAGUGCGAGCUAUCUCAGUAGAGUUGAGAGGUGUCUCUGAGAUGACAAGGAUGCUACCCAGCCUCCCAUCACUUCCAGGAUGCCAUCAGGAAAAGACGCCCCUCCAGAGGAAAUGCCUAGCUCUGUAGAAUCCAGGAGGGCUGCUUGUUUAGUAAAUAUUUCAUCAAGAACAUUAGCUGUGGAGUUUGGAUGCUUAAGUAAUGCAGAUAAUGAAAUGUAAACAAUUAAAAAUUAAUAAUGUUUGAAAUGUUAAGCAUAAUUAGGCAGGCAGCGUGUCAGUAAUGAGGGGGUCCACUCGUGGUGACUGUCUAUCCAUCCACUCUCAUGGUUGUGCUCCAGGAGACAUAACCUGUCACACGGCCCAGGAAUCGUUCUAGGACUCAACCCUGUGCACGGAGUUGUGGGUAUGCGGGAUCUGCGGCUGUCUGCUGGCGGUAGUUCCCCCAGCGUGGGCAGCUUUACAUACAGCCUGCAUGGAACAGUGACUGGUGUGUUUGGCGAGGGGCAGAGGAGACUGUAUAAACAUUGCUGGAAAGCACCCUUCCAAUCAAAGGUGCUGGAGUUGAGGCAGGGGCGUGUAUACGUUUAUUUAGCGAGUCAUGUGGUGCAGACGGGCUCUCUGGGGACUCGUUCCAUUUAUCCUUUCCUUCUGCUCUGUGCUCUCAUCUUCAAUCAUCUCCCCUUUCUUCUCCAGUAGCUACUUUUCUUCAGUCUAAAAAUAAUACACUCAAGUGUCCUUCAUCUCACAAAGAGAAUUCUCUUAACAUGUCUCCCUAUAAAGGCAGCCAGCCUUCCCCUCUCCUUUCAUUCCUCAUCAGACUUCCUGGAAGAAUGCAGCACAUUUCUGACUUCACUCUCCCUGAAUUUCAUUCCCUGGUGGAGCAUCCAAGUGCUCUGUCUCUGUUUCUGUCUCUCUGUCUGUCUCUCUCUCUGUCUGUCUGUCUGUCUGUCUGUCUGUCUGUCUGUCUCUCUUUGUCUUUCUGUCUCUCUGUGUCUCUGCCUCUGUCUCUCUCGUCACCUAUGAUGUCUUAUUGGUUGAGCCAGUGACUUCCCUGUCCCCACUCUGAGGGACUGUACCCCAUCCCUCAGAAAUCCUCCCCUUUGAUCUCAGCCUUCACAUUUUUACAAUGUUCUUUUGGCCUCUCGUGACCAGUUUUUAGGUUUCUGGUCUAAGAACAUUUCCCCCUUAGUUCUUUACUUCUUCACACAGGACUUGCAAAUAAAAUUUAACAGAGACAGGAUAGCAAGCACGUGUGUAAAAUGGAGAGGAGACGCUGAAGAGAUGGAAAGCAACAGCAGUGGCCACAGCAAGUGGUGAUAAGGAAUUUUAACUUGUUUAUAUAUUUAUUGUUGGAGACGCCUGCUAUUGAGAGAGAUCUCAGUCCACUGAGUCCAGAUAGCAAUCCAAGCUCUGUGGAAGAUGGAGGAUGCCCUGGCUCAUCCCAGCUUCCCUUUCUCUACCUAACUGGUUGAGUGUCUCUGAGCACAGAUGUCUGACCUUGUUUGGAGGAUGUCCCUGAGCAGAGCUCUCUGCAAAUGCUGCAUGAUUUAGCACAUACGCCAUGUUCUAGCUUCCUGCCUAUAUGAUAAGUAAGGACUGUGCUGUGGCCAGUCAGCCCUUCCCACCUGUACUGCGAGAGCCCUUAUACACCUUACCCGGGGGGCCAUAAAGCGAGCUGUCUCACUGAAGCUGACUCCCUGACGUCCAUUCAUCAUACUCACUCAUGGCUGUCUGAACCCUGCUCGAUACCUCUGCUCUCUCUGCCUUGUGGGCUGAUGGCCAAUGACACCUCUAAAAAGAAGGGGGACCCACAAGAUUUUUUUUAAUUAAAAUUUCUAUGUAUUUUUGUGCGUGUGUGUGCAUUCGUGCAUGUGUGUGUGUGUGUGUGUGUGUGUAAGUGUGACAUGGCAUGUGUAUGGAGGUCAGAGUACAACUCUUAGGAAUAUGUCCUCUCCUUUACAAAGUAGGUCCCAGGGAUUCACCUCCAGUUGUGAGGCUUCAAUGCCAAAUCCUUCUACAUUCUCUUAGUUUCCCUUUUUGUUACUGUGGUAAAAGACCUUGACCAGAGCACUUUAGUGGAAAAAGUGCUUACCUGGUUCACAGUUCUGGGCUACAGCCCAUCCUUGUGGGAAAAUCAAGGUGGCGUGGACUUGAAACAGCUAGUCAUGGUACAUCCGCUGUCAAGAGCCAAGAGCAACAAAUCAGCACAUCCCUGCUGGCGCUUAGUUCAGUUUCUCCACUCUGCCCAGGGGACAGUGUCACCCACAGUGACAAAGAUAAGACCCCGCAGACCACAGACAGGGCCACAGCCCAACUUAAUCCAGCCAGUCCUCCACUGAGACUCCCUUCGAGGUGAUUCUAGGCUGCGCAGAAUUGACAACCAACCGUCACUCGUGUUGUCUUCUCAGCCACCUGCUGAGAUGUUGCCCAUGCUAUCACUUAAUAUUAUUCUUAAUGUUAAAGUUACAAACCUAUGCAUUUGAGUUGUUCUACUAUUUUUAGUGUGUAGUAUUAUAAAAGCCUAUACAGUAAAAACAAACAAACAAAAAACUAAGAUAACUGACAACCAAACCCACCCACCCCUUGGUUCUCUCCCUGCAGGGCUGGUUUAUUGCCUUUAUCUUUAUUCCUCUGAAUGCUUUGAAUUUUUUCUUGAAUUAUUGGUUUUGGCUACUAAGACCUGGCUCUUACAGCUCAGCUCAGGGUCUUAAAAGCUGAAAACAAUUAUUAUCCAUAAAGUUCUCAAUCGAGCAUCCUCAAGAACAUGCUCUAAAUGAACCUUGCUUGUCCUCCCCUUCUCUCCUGUAACACAUAAGCACACACAUGCCUGUACUCUUCCACACCCUGCUUUUCCUGUUUCCUGCCUUGUCACCUCAGGCAGCUUUUUGUCCCUCACUUUCUUCCUGGGUUGGCCCACAAUGUCUGUCUCCCUCUGAAAUGGCAUUUGCAUUCAGCUAGUUAGUAUAACUGCUGCUGCGUCCAACACCUGACAGAAGUGACUGAAGAGGGGAGGGGUUUGUUGGGCGCCUGGUUCCAUCUCUAAGGGCUGGGGAAACAUGGUGGUGACCAGUCAGUCCAUGUGAGGGUGUUUAUGGCAGCAGCUGUCACACAGCAUUGAUGAUAACCAUCAAAGGCCUGCCUCCAGUGACCCACUUCCUCCAGACGUCCCUUCUGCCCUAAUGUCAUAAAGCCAUCUAAAACAGCUGCCACCUGGGGACAGGUUCUUGAUCACAUGUGUGGUACUUUCGCAUUAAAAACUAUGACAUGGUCCUGUGUGUGACUCUGCAGCCACUGCCCUCAUUGAAGACCUCAAAUUCUGCCUAAAGAAAGCUGUCAACUGUUGCUCUCAGUGUCACCUUUUGCUUCAGUGUGUCUUCCACGUGAGCUUUCCAACAGAUGGACAGAUGGAUGGAUAGAGUGAAAAGAAUUGCCGAGAGGCCGAACUGGCUGAGUGGUGUUCUGAACACUGUUUUGGUUGGGAUGAGCCUUAGUUCCCUGGGAUUGUUAGUAAGGUGAAUGUCAUUGGUCAAGUGGCUCACGAGAAACACUUCAGACUGUUCUGAGAACCAUCUAAGUCACUCAUCGAAUAGUAGUUAAUGAUAGAUACAGCUAAUUUUCCGAGAUGAUGGCAUUCAUGAAUAGGUUGGAAAUAGGUUGGCCUGUGUUUGUUGAAUGAAAGAUACACACAUACAUGAGUCUCUUAUAACUGGUAGAGGAAUCUCCUUCAUACUUCCUAUCUAAAAAUCCUCUGCAAAGAAAGACACAUGGAGAGCAGGGUGGGGUUUAGUGGAUGGUUUUUUUUUUCCUACUUCUUUAGAGACCAAAUACUGGAUUGAAUCUGGGGAAAGCUGUGCACUUUGGAGUGGCCAGGGACCUGGAUAUGUUGUGUGGUGAUUGAUGGUUGUCGGGGGAGGUCUUGAACUUUAAGGCGGUGCUAUUCCCUCCUCAGGUCUCAGCUUCCUUCUAACGCUUCUGCUUCCAUAAUAAUGCUUCCUGGCUCUGACGUCUUAAAGGGUUAGUGCAGAAGAAACCAUUUUGGCUAUUUUAGCAGAGAGUUCAGUGUUUGACGAGUCAGGUGAUUUCUGGUCUUUGCUUUAGUGACAGCUCUCCUCAGACCCUCAGCUUCAUCUGGUAAGAAGUGACCGGAUGGAUUUGGGAAUGCUUAUUGUUGAGCAUGGGAGAAAUGCUAAACAUGGCAUGUCGAGGAAAUCAAUCUAAUACGCAUAUAUUAAGAGAAGCAGGGCUUAAUUGUACUCGUGGCUGCACCAGCAGGGGCUGGAGAGGGCUAGGCUUUAUAGGCACCCACUGUUCUCUGUAACUUGAAUUAAAAGGCAUCAAAAUGCCUUGGUCUACUGGUUGCUCUAGGCCUUUAUUGGAAACCCUGAGUGUUUUUCUAUAGAUCCUAGCACCAGAGGUCUGUAGUUCUUGUGAUAGCUUAGCAACCCAAGUUUUUGACCUGUGGGCAAUUUCUCCUCUACAAGGGGGAAAAGAAAAGAAAUUAACCAAAUAAUUUAAAUCUAACAACAAAGUAAUAAAAUGCCAAUUUCAUUCUGAAGUUAAUGGCAUUACUUCAAGUUAUUUAGCACUUCGUAGCAGAAUAACUCGCCAACCUGCACUUUGCAUAUACAUAUUUAUUGAAUUCACCAAGAGUGUGCUCUGCACAUUGACUGCCCAUGAUUUGUGCCUAAAUAAUAACUCCUGAAUAGAACUCACUGCUUUAUGGGUCUUUGGUGGGAUUUUUGAAAAAUAAAUUCUGCACAAGGGGUGGCAUUAAAAGGGAAAAAAAGAAAUAUAAUGUGAUUUUCCUCCUAUGCAGGCACAGCGUUAGCUUCCUUUUAUUAAUCCGAGCAAUGAAAAUCACUUUGACACAUUGUUGUUAUUUAUUAUUUAUUUUCACAUCUUUCUUUAAAAGGCGGGGUGUGUCCAUUUUAACACACUGCUAGAGUCUUCAGAGUCUGUGAGACUGAGUACACAGAACCAAGCCCAGGACGACACGCUGCGGAGCCAGCUCCUCACGCAACCAUGUUUAUUGCGUGCCCGCUGGCCUGGAGUGCAGAAGUAACUCCUAUUAAAUUAGCAAUCAAGCAAAGCAAAGCUUGAGUCACAGAACAACCCAAAGCACAAUGGGAUGAACGUGGUGACGGCCAACUCCUUGAGUGCUGUGUAUAGCUUUUAAAUGUUACCUACAAAUUUAUAAUGUCCCUGAUUAGCUUGAAAUGUCAAAAUCGUAGCUGAAGACCCCACAGAGGAUUUCUAAAGGGCGAGGUGCCUUUCCUUUCUUUCUUUUUCUUUUUGCUUUGCUUUCUUCUUUUCCCUCCUCUAGAUUCGUCAGAACUAGCUAGCAAAAGCUCCCCGCUUAGCCUGCUAAUGACUAUCAGAAAUAUUCACAGUGUUCCCUGGGUUUCUUCUCUUCUCGCGUGGUCAGGCUUUAACAUGCAGUCCUUAGUCUCAGCCUAAUUACUCACAUUUGAAGCGGGAACCUCACAUCUGUCACAAAGCUCUUAGGCCACUUUUAGGAAGGCCUUGCUGUCAACAACAGGAAGUGGGAGGAGGGGUUGGGGGUGGACUCUCUUAUCUCAGACAAUAUGUGGAAUUGCACCUGACUGACAAAGCCACUGAAGAAGCUGGUGAUAAUAUUAUUACAGUAGCUACCAUAUGUCUUACAUCAAAUGCGGCUCUAGCUUUAUCAUUUUCACUGGGGCUCUCUAGAAGGAGAUGGGAGAGAGCUGCCGCAGAGAUCUGGCUCUCCACUGAAAUGCAGGCUUCCUGCUCCUCUAUAAAGGAAACAACUAAAACUCCAUUUGCAUCAAGAACCGAGAGCCCUAGGUUAAUUACAGGUAAGGGUAUGUUUACAUUCCCCAGGGCUAGCUACUGACAGGUUUUAUUUCUGAGGGAAAAAAAAAAAUGCUGCUGCAGUUUGACUAAAUCCACAGGUCUUUUUUUUUUUUUCCACUCUUAAAAUUCUGUGUGGCCGAAAGGAACCCAUCACUCAAAGAUCUUUCAAAGGUAACCUGGAAAACCUUCAUUUUCCAGAGUCUGAAUGCAGUUAGAGAACCCAAAGUUCAGACCCGGAAGCCUAAACAAAAGAAGACAUGGGAGGUCGAUACCUUUGUGAGGCUCAAAAGAGGGCGGGUGGCCUCGGGGCAUGAUGAUGGUGACAUAAUCGGCCAAUUAAAACCUUGAGACAAAGUCUGAGCCAUACAGGUGCAGAGCCCAGGAUGCUGUGAGCUAAGACUAGUCAGCCGGACAAUAGUAUCAAAGAGCUAACUUCCCAGGUGGGUAACAUGCUUGCUUUGAAAGGACCAGGACACGUGCUAGAUCCCAGAACAGAUGUAAAAAGUAGGGAGAGGCAAUGUGCACUUGCAAUCCAGCACACAGGGAGACGGAGACAGGCGGGUCGCUGGGGCUGACUAACAAACCUCUUCAAGGCCAGUGAGAGGACUUGUUACAAAGAAACAAACAAAAAGAUGGGUGUUAUCUGAGGUAUGACUGCUAAGGUUGUCCUCUGAUCGCCACAUACACACACCACUUCCCACAUCUGCAAGGCUUCUAGCUUCAUCCCUUUCUUUUCUUUCUUCCUCCCUCUCUCCCUCUUCCCCUCCCUGCUGUGGAUGGCUCUAUGCUGCUUGCUCUCUCAGGACAGUAAUGUACUCAGGUGGCUUCUUGUGAACCAAUCCUCUAAUGAAUAAAGGAGCCAAUCACUGGGCGAGUAGGCGGGACUUCCGGGUUGGACUGAAGAAGAGGGCAAAGCAGGAGAGAGUUAGGUCCUCUUUGGAACAGACUGCAGAGGGGUAAGGUGUAGCUGUUAGAGUUUCCCAGGCCAUUGCCCACCAGCCAGCCAAGAGUUAGAGGCACAAGUGCGGGAGCAUGAUGGUUCUUCAUUUUUUAAUAUUUCCCACAGCACCGCCCUCCCUCUUUUCCUCUCCCUCUUCCUCCCCUCCCUCUCUCCCUCUUUUCCUCCCCCUCUUCCUCCUCUGUCCUUCCUUUUCGCCUAGUACCAGAGGGAAUGAUGGAUCAGCCAAGCUAACCUUAGCAACUGUCAGGGCCGUAGCUCCUCUGUAGGUUGUUAAGUUACUUCUUUAGGUUUAGAUUCAGUUUUCCAAAGCCACGAACCACAGAUACGAUGCCACAGGCUUUCUUGCCCAGCCAGCCAUGAGCUAUUUAGCUGUCACUUUGUACCUGCAAGUCCCCAGGGACUCUAGAUUUAGCAGUGGGAGCCAGUCUGUCUCUUGCCAGUCUCUGACCACCAUCUCUGUCUCUCCUGGUGCUCACUUCUUUGCCUUUAGCACUCCUAGCCACUGACAGACAUUCUCACAUUGACCUGUUUGUGUAGUGAUUCAUGUUUGCUUCCUCACCCCCCCCCUCCCACACACACACCUGUGCACAAGCACAGCUUCGUUCUGAAGUGGCCAUUCUUGUCUAGAGUGGAUGAACCAAGUAUCUAAUCACUGAGGCAAACGGUAGCUUGUGAUCUCAGGAGGCCUGGGCACUGGCUAUGGAUGCAGCCACUGUCAGAACACUGGCUUCACACAGAUGGCCUAGACAUGGGGAGUGUUUUUAAUGCAGGCCAUUUCUCUGGAGAAGAAAUAAGACAGAAAAUAAUGCCAAGUUCGCCACAGGCACCUGAAGAAAAACUAUUUGUCUUUGAAGGGUGUGAGGCAGAAACCAUAUCCAGCAAAACCUUUGUCAGAUAAAACUGAAAGAUAAGGUCUGCCCCCCACCCCCUUUGUUUUAAUUUGUAGAUAGAAACACUGGGAAUUAAAAGACAUUCUACUGAGAAGGUAGGUACUCUAUCCUACGUAAGGAGUAUCUAUUCCAACGAUGAGUAGUGGUAUAUACCUAUAAUCUCAGACCUUGGGAGACAAAGGCAGGGGUUUUUGGAAAAGCCAGGUCCACACGGAAUUCUACAUCAGCCAGCACUGAAUAGGAAGACCUAAUCAUAAACAAACAAAUAAAUCUUUUGUAAGCAGAGCCCCCACCCUGUUCCAUCUGAAGACUACAGUUUCCCCUUAUUGUGAUUACUCUAAAUCAAGACAUCUCAAGACCCUAGGUUUUGUUUUUGUUUGCUUGGUUUUUGUUUUGUUUUGUUUUGGCCAAGAUGUUUAUGACCACAGUCAACUUGAUGAGAUUGAGAAUCAUGUAGGACGUUUUAAAAGUGUACCUCUUGUGUGUUUGUAAAGGCAUUUGCAUUGCAUUGACUCAGAAGGCUGUGGUGUAAUGGAUGGAUUGGUCCCCUGAUGGAGUCGUAACAUGAUGGCAGGAAGUGAAAAGGAGGAGGUGGGGCCUAGUUAGAGGAACUGGGUCAUUGGGGACAUGUCCUUGGCCACUAGCUAUAUCUUGGCCUGACCCCUUCCUUCAUUCCAGGUCUGCUUUGUAUUAUCCACAAGAUGGGAGACUUUACCACACGCUUCUGCAGCCAUGAUGGCUGCCUCACCAGGUCACAGACUCAGCAGGUAGAAACCAAGAGCCAAUGGAAGUUACCAAUGAAGCUGUUAAAUGGUGGUCUUCCCAAGAGUCCAGGGAGCAGUUAACUCUACAGGAAUUGUCCAAGUUCAGAUUUCUGAAUCUGUUGGAAAUAAAAACCCAAUCCCUUCACCUUUGAUUCAGAACUCUCAUAGGGAUGCUCAUUUCCUUCAUCCGUAUGAGAUUCUCAAACCCUUAGAAGCUAGGUUCUACUCAUCAAGCAAGAUCCUCCUUGUGUUCAGCACACACACACACACACACACACACACACACACACACACACAUACAUUCCCCCCUCCCAAAUCUGGCUCCUACUGACAGUUUUAGUCAUUCGGUGGUGGUGCCAUUUUCUACAUAGGAACUCUCCCUCCUGGUGGGAGCAGAGAGACUCAGGAAGUUCAAGCAACUUACAAGGCUCGAAGAACUCAUUAGACUUGGGAAGCCUAGAGGGUGGUAAGGUUCACAGGCGUCCUCUCUCCCUGCUGAAAUAGAAGCUAUGAGAAACUGCAGAGCAAAGCAGAAUCUCAGGAGGAACUGACUCUUUUCUUGCUGUCACUGGCACUGGGGUGGGGGAGGGGGGCUUUCUGGUGAGGCAGCUCCUUUCCUGUCCUCAGAUCAGAGAAGCCUUCAUGCCUGUCCUCCUUGCUUGGGUGAUAAUCCACGUCUUAGUUAGGAUUUUACUGCUGUGAACAGGCACCAUGACCAAGGUAACUCUUAUAAAGACAAUAUUUAAAUGGGGAUGGCUUACACGUUCAAAGGUUCAGUCCAGUAUCAUCAAAGCGGGAACAUGGCAACAUCCAGGCAGACAUGGUGCAGGAGGAGCUGAAAGUUCUACCUCUUUAUCCAAAGUAAGCCAAGGAGCAGACUAUCUUCCAGGUAGCUAGGAGGAAGGUCUCAAAGUCCACCCCCACUGUGAAACACUUCCUCCAACAAGGCCACAGCCCCUCCAACAAGGCCAUGCCUCCUAAUAGUGCCACUCUCUGUGGACCAAGCAUAUUCAAACCGCCACAGCCCAUUUCUAUCUCAGAUGGACAGCUGCUUUAGUUCCUCUUCAAGGCCAACAAACACAAUGAUCUCUCUUUCUGAAAAACCUCUGUUCUCCAUCACAUGCCCUCCCUGCUUUCUCAUUCAUGGCUCCCUUAUUGCUGUCUAGCUUCCUGUAUCUUGUUGAAUCGCUAAUCCUUCCCCAAGUUAGAUGCUUGAGCUUUCAUUUUUUAAAAAACAUUUCUUGCAAGUCACCUACACACAGGAGCAGGGAGCUGUGAUCAUGUAGAAGAAAACGCCUUCGAUGUUUGCCAUUUAUCUUUAAUCCUUUUCCCAAAGAACCUACUAGAAAAUACUGUAAUUAAUUCAUCAGAGUUUCACUCUUCCCUCCAUCUAUUCUGGGGGGGGGGGAGAUGAGGGUAAGGAAAAAGGAAUCAUAAUAAUAAGCCAUUAAAAAUUGACCAUAUGCAUUUACAGUGACUACUACUGCUAGUCCCAAAUACGGAUUAUAUAUAAAGCUGCCAUUUAAGGACUUCACAGGGCAAAAGACUAAGUGACCGGCGGAUUUAUUGAUGCAGAGAAUGCUUGACCUGCAUUUUGCACCAGAGUUGCAAGUGAUUUAUACAUACAAGCAACGUCAUAUCAACACUGUCAGUGAGGUGCUACUAUGGUGAUGCUGACUUUGCUAGAUAAUAAGGCCAGAGUUGGAGUAAAUGGCCAAAGGCUACAGAAGCAGUGGGGAGCGAUCAGUCUUAGAAGGGUCAGCCUGCCUCCUACCCUAGCCUCUUUCUUUCCAUCAAGUAGCAAAACAGACAGACAAAAACCAAUUUUUUCAAGGCAGGGUUUUAUGCAACCCAGGCCAGCCUUGAACUCACUAUGUAGCAGAGGAUGAGUUUAAACUCCUGAUCCCCCUGCCUCCACCUUCCACAUGCUGGGAUUGCAGGUUUGUACCAUUAUGAUGGGCCGACCCUAUAACUUUGAGUCAUCCAGUAGCUAUGACAAUGCUUUAAAGAACCUGGUAAAAUUAACUAUAGUAACAUAUUUAUUAAACCCCAAAUGUCAGAAAUAAUAAUAUUUUACAUAAGUAGUGAUACAUUUUCUGAAAAUAUCUUCUGCCCUCAAAGAGGCUGAACUUUUGUCAAAUCUUGCAGCCAAGUUAGUAAUAUGCCUUGAGAGCAUUCAAAUCUGUGGACUUAACCUGCUGCCCUACUGUGUACUCAGCCUGUGUAAGUUUACCUGCUUUUAAGAGAACGAUGUGACCAACCUUUCUAUGCCUUGGAUUUCCCACACAACCAGCGUUACAACCUAAACUAAUGCAUAGCAUUAAUAUCAACUAUGUACUUCUUACUGACCCAGAAUGAGUGUGUACGCAUGUGUGUGUGUGUGUGUGUGAGAGAGAGAGAGAGAGAGAGAGAGAGAGAGAGAGAAAGAGAGAGAGAAUCAUUUACUGAAAAUGUCGACAGGCUGAAAGCAACCUCAAACAAAACAAAUAGCCACCACAAGGGUUGGACUAUAGAUUGAUAAUGUCUAUGAGUACUAUUCUGAGUGCUAUACUGGGUCAGUGAACUACCUCCUUCCCUUGUAAAACUGUUACAGAGUUUGUUCUGCAAAGAAUCCCUUGUUCUUCCCCAGCGCCAUGUUUUCUGUCCCAUUUGAUAAAUAAAGCCCUUUGUUAGGGACAGGUACAACAAACAAGUGACAGGAAACUAUCACAAAUGCACACACACAUGCCCACAUACAUGCACACACAUGCACACACCCACACCAGAUAGCCUAUAGACAGGCCAGUAACCACAGAUUACAGACAGGAAACCAAUGGAGAGAAGAGGGUUUUUAAAAUUUGGUCUCACUCUCAAGCAAACUCCAAGAGGAACUUUCUGUUUCAUUCCUAAACGUGAGACCAACAUAGUUUCAUAUUUUGCAUGUAAUCGAUCUACUUAGUAAGCUAGUUUAACUACAUUGUCAAAGCUGGUGUGUGGUUUAUGAUUCUGGUAUGCACAUGGUGGUGACAACUGCAUGUGACUGGUGGCUGCCGUAAUGGGUCACCCCGCUUUACACCACACUUUUCUAGAACACUGUCCUGUCGAUAGCAAAGCCCCAGGCUUUAGCUGCAUUUGCUUUUUAAUAUGAGGCGAUGCUUUGUGCAUUCAACCUGAAACUUGAAGGCGCAUGGGUUGGGCAAACAGCUACUGGGUUAGUCCGUCCAUCUGACAUGACGUGUUAGGCACGAUUUAAAGAAUGCCAAGUGUUCCCUUUCAGUAACAUUUGCCAGAGCGUGAUUCUGGCCUGGCAUACUAUAACGGGAAUGGCUGUAACGCAUUACGUCACACAGACAGUUGGCAAAGGAUGGACGUGUGAGUUCAGCCUUCAUGAGGAAUCCCAUUAGGACAAGGACGUUGACCUUUGUUUCCUGUUCGCUCCCUGCUCUGAGGGGAGGAGGGAAGCAUCUGAGCUCCGGGUAAAACCUGAAACUAUUCUCUCUCCUUCCUUGGUAGUGGACAUGGCGCAGGAUAAAUAACUACCAAACGAUGAACAGGAAGCCUGUCUCAGGCUUGCUCUGCCCACGCUUACUCAGGGUAUCCCCAUCCCAUCAAGCAUCAAAGAGGGCACCACUCUUCACAUGGCUCCGAACUGGUCCUCACAGUACACAGUUGAUCUUCUAAAGGGCAGCGUGACACCCAGUGUUUACAAUUAUGCCAGAAUCACAAAUAAGCAACUUUUAUAGUUUCAGGAACAACCUCUACGGAUAACUCAUUAAUCAAACAUAAGUGCUUAGAGAAUGUGAUAAUGCCAUACAUUAGACAGGCAUAAAGGAGACGGUGACAUUUUAUUCUUGCCAAGAGGAACAAAAUGAGGUAGAGAUGAUUGGAGACCCACAGUUAGGGGUGAAGAAAAAAAAAACAUGUCGCAUCCCAUGAAAACAAAGGCACAAAGGAAGAACAUGGAGGCCCCAUUGCAAACACAAGGCCGUGGAACCGCAGAUUGAAUGUUAUGUAUCACAGUUCUGUCAAGAGAGAGAAUUCUCCACCCGGGGCUAUUUUUCUCAAUAUGCAUGCAUGCUUUUACAUUGUAGAGUUGGUCCUUGGUCAGUCUUGAUCACUUUCCCAACAGUGACAAGAGAAAAGUGGUCUCACUUGGCUGUUGAGUGAGGACCACAACUCCUCUGUGUUUUCCGCCAUCCCCUCUGCGCUCUCUGAUCCAGCACUAUUUAUAGUCCUGAGAGGCUGAAAGUCUGUCCGUGCGUGCAACAACAGAGAAGCAAUAGGAUUUCUAAAAUACAUUUGUGUAUCCAUUAAAAUAUUACCUGAGAGUCUUUAAGGAUGUAGGAAGAGACACGUCUUACAGGCACAAAGCCUGAAAUGAAAUCAUUAGGUACUAUCUGAAGACAUUACGAUCUCUAUAUAGGGACUGGAGUUGUGGCCCAGUUGGAAGAGAGCUUGCACUACAUAAUCUAGACGUGAUGGCACAUGGCCACUCGUUCUGGCACAGGCAGAGGCAGGUGGAUGAGCGGUUGAGCAUCACCUUCAGUUACUUGGGGAAUUUGAGGUCAGUCAAGGCUAAAGACUCUUCUAAAAAAAAAAAAGAUGAAGUGUUUUAUACACAAACUUAAAAACCAUUGUGCUGUAGGGACAUCUCAGCUUGGGGCAGUAACACAGUUAAAGUACUUGCCCAGCAUGUUUGAAGUAAUGUGUUCUACCCACCAGUACUCCACCCUUUCUCAGAAGGAACAUCCUAACUGAAGAGAUAACAGACACAUUGGGAAAUAUUUGCAAUAUGUGACGAGCAAGGCAUAUGGAUUUUUUAACAUGAAAUAAAGGUUCACAAGGCAGUUUUAAGCUUGAUAAAAAUUUCAACUUAAAACAGGAAGUUUUCAAAGUCGAUGAGUAGUGAGUGUAUGGGGACAUGUUUGAGGGGGUAUGGUGAUGUCUCAGUGAAUACUUGCUGUGCAAGCACAGGGUACAGCCGGAUCACCAGAAUCCACACUUAUAAAAGCUGGGCGCAGUGAUACAUGCAUCUAAUCCCAGUGCUGCAGACACAGGUGAAAGCAAGUCGAUGGUCAUCCCUGGAGCCCACUGAUCACACGGCCUGGCCUAUUUCAUGAGUCAGGGAGAGACCCUUCUCAAAAGAAAACCACAAAACUCAAAAAUAAAUGCCCGACAAAUGGCUGUUAUGCUUGCCCUCUAGGCGCAUGUCAGUCUGUAUACAUGGGGCACUAGCACCCAAUUGAUUCAGUCAAGCAUGAAGACUAGGCCCAGGAAUCCUGCAUGCAGUGCCCUAAAGAGCUGUGUGUGUAGGUUCCUGAGACUUGGUGACACCAGGGCUGUGAGCUACAGUGUGUCUCUUUAGGUCACAGACAUCUCUUCUAGGGAGGUUUGUCUCUUGUGAUCUCAUGAAGUAUUAGUUUUCAAGUACCAAACAGGCAAAUUUUUGAAAUAACACUUUGUUUCCCAUGGACUUAAGAAUAGAAGAAAUGGCCACUUGCAUUAACUGAGCCACGAGGAGCAUUAGAACCUCAGUGUACAUUUGUGUAUUUACGUUUAAAACACUCAAGGAUGGAAUGUACGUUACUGGAUGUACAUGCCACUUGGAUUGCCUGCUGACUACCUGUCUUCUUUCCUGCCUACCUGCCUGUCUGUCCACUUUUCCUCUUUAGCAUGUGUGCAUGUGUGUCUGUCUGUCUGUCCACUCAUCUCUCUCUCUGUGUCUCUCUAUCUCUCUGUCUCUGUGUAUAUCUCUGUCUCUGUGUGUGUGUGUGUGUGUGUGUGUAAGCAUACACAAGCCACAGUGAAUGUGUGGAGGUCCUGCAAUCAAUCUCAGGCCACCAUACUACCAUACUUUGCUUUUCUUGUCCUGAUAUAAAAUAUUGGCUGGAGAAAUGGCUCAGUGGUUAAGAGCACUGAUUGCUCUUCCAGAGGUCCUGAGUUCAAAUCCCAGCAACCGCAUGGUAGCUUACAGUCAUUUGUAAUAGAAUCCAAUGCCCUCUUCUGGUGUGACUGAAGACAGCUACAGUGUACUUACAUAUAAAUAAAUAAAUAAAUAAAUAAAUAAAUAAAUAAAUAUUCUACUUAGAUGGUCAUAUCUAAUAACACAGGCUUUGGAACUUAGCACAUCACAGUGAGAAUGUCUGUUUCUUGAACUCUCACAGUAAUAGACAGAAGAACUUGGCAUUGGUUUGAGGAUGUUAGUGAUUGACAGCAGAUCACGGGCUUGGUUCUGGCCCAUUCCAUGCUAUGGCCUUCAAGCAGGAGUGACUCUUGUAUAAAACGUAAAACUAUCUUUGGUUAUGAAUUAGUAAAUCUAAGCAGAUUGUCAGAAUCUGUAAAGAAACAAGGUUAUCCAAGUCUUACUUGUUUUACUUUCAAACCACAUGAACGAAAUCUAUGUUGACUGCUCAGGGAUCUACACUAGGCAGAAAUGAGUGGACCCAAAGACUGCACGUUCCUCAGUUCUUGAAGAUGUCAUGGGUUCCCCUGGUUACCUUAGCUAAGAUCAUUCUCAACCUGAAAUGGUGGGCAUUUGACCUCCUGGGAUUCUAGACACUAUAGCCAUUGAUGUCCCCCAGUGAUGGGGUGUUAGGGACCAUGGCCAUAUAUGGAAGUCCUUGAGAAGCCAAAGAAAAAUGUUUAAACUAAUCUCUCUAUAAAGAAGUCAUUGCAGAAAAUUGAGACACACAGAAUUCUAGACAGUGUAUAGGAUGUUUUGAUGCUCUCCGGGAAGUCUGAUAAAUGUUAGACAUAAAGAUUGAUCUCGUGGACCUACCACCAUUCAAUGAAUACUCCACACUUCCAUACGAAGUUCUAGUGACUGCUACAUCAAAAUGCAUGGGCUGGACUGACUACAAGAGAGCUGACUUGAAUGGACCUUCCUGUUAGAGACAUUGUCCCCACAUGCUCAGGGGAUGGAGCAAGCCUUCAGUGUUCUGCUGUGGGCUUCUCAGAUUUAUAUUUUGAGUGAAAGGCCCAUGGAAAUGAGAAAGGAGUAAACAGACCCAAGUUUGUGCUUUUUGGGGAUAAAAGUAGUCUCUCACUCAUUGGGAAGUACAGGGUCUCAGUUCUCAGUUCAAGCCUGGGAUUAGGUACAUGGACACACACACACACACACACACACACCCACACACACCCCACACAUACACACACACAUACCACAUAAACACACACAUACACACACAUGCACAUACACACACCACACAUACACACAUGCAUACAAGCACAUACCACACACACACCCCACACAUACACACACACCCCACACAUACACACACACAUACCACAUAAACACACACAUACACACACAUGCACAUACACACACCACACAUACACACAUGCAUACAAGCACAUACCACACACACACCCCACACAUACACACACACCCCACACAUACACACACACAUACCACAUAAACACACACAUACACACACAUGCACAUACACACACCACACAUACACACAUGCAUACAAGCACAUACCACACACACACACCACAUACACACGCACACACCUGCUUCCCCAACCCUGCAGCCAUCUAUCUCUCUCCUCUUUAGUAUCACAGUGGGGCUGAUUCCCCCCACUCUGUUUUGAUGCUCAUCUUAGUAUGCUCACGCUGCGUUUAUUUGACCAUGUUUUCUGUAAGACUUUCACUCGAUACAUUUGCUAAGGGCCUGGAGUGCAGCAUGUAGUAACUUUGCUUUGGAAUGGCACAUUAAUUUUUAAAGCGGACACAUUACAGUUCUGUGAAUAUCUGUGUAGUAUUUACUAGAUGUGACAGUGCAUGGUAGGACCUUGGAAUCACGCUUUUUCCAUCAUUCUGUGUCCAACCCAGAAGCUGAACCUCUGCAGGACUAGAGACUGAGUGAUAACUUCACUAUUCAUGUCUAGUUGGCAACUCAUGCCUCCCAUCUGGGCUGCUCCACAUCCUGUCCCAUGGCUAUAAAGUUCAUAUCUACCCUUCUCUGAUAGCCCCCCUAGCCCCCAUCUUCCUUAUAUCUUUGCUUUGCAUUAUGUCAAGUUCAAAACUUUAAAACUCAGCUUCUUUCGAAAUAAGUGUAGACUCUAAUACAGUUCUGAAGAAGAGUACAGAGAGCCUGUGUUAUGCUACACUAACAUUCCUUGCUAGUAGCACCUUGCAAAUGCAUACUCCAGGGUGUCUUAGCCACAUAGUAACAACAUGGACAGCAGCUAGAUACAAAACAUUCCCGACUCCUUUUGGUGGCACUUUUCCAGAGUGGCAUCCUUCUUCUGCCUGUGGAUUCUAGUUGCCCCAGCACUUUGUUGUCCAUGCUGAAUUUCAAACUGAAUGGCUGCGGCACUAUUUCUGGGCACUCUGUUCUGUCCCCCUCUGUCCACCUGUCUUGUGAUGCUGUGUCAUUUGGUUACUGUAGCGCUGUGUCAUUUGGUUACUGAGUUCCACUGCACAGGGUAAGUGUUCUCCCCUGAUUGCUUUAGAAGGAGGUUCCAGCUGCUCCAGGACUCUGCCUUCCCCUGUAGAUUUUAGCAUUGGCUUCUCAGAGGCUACAAAAUUUUUGCUGUGAUCCGAUUGGAAUGGCAACCAACCAGUGGAUUGGGGGACAAUUCACAGGUACAAUGUCGACUUUUCCGUGAGUACAGCAGGCCUCUCCCUAGAU